UGACCUCAAAUCAGGUAGGACUACCCGCUGAACUUAAGCAUAUCAAUAAGCGGGAGGAA
RNAcentral lists this ribosomal RNA (59 nucleotides) under Amanita fuliginea. Its description in RNAcentral is "partial 28S ribosomal RNA". It matches the Rfam family "Eukaryotic large subunit ribosomal RNA", at positions 1 to 58 of the family's 3401-position model. Lineage: Eukaryota; Fungi; Basidiomycota; Agaricomycetes; Agaricales; Amanitaceae. The record is from RNAcentral.